This 266-nucleotide long non-coding RNA is filed under the name Sorghum bicolor (sorghum). RNAcentral's name for it is "long non-coding RNA (SBIC_LNC003305)". The record is from RNAcentral. Lineage: Eukaryota; Viridiplantae; Streptophyta; Magnoliopsida; Poales; Poaceae.
UGGUUAACAUCCUCCAAAUCUAUUACACCAUUAACUCCUAUAAUUUGUUGCUUUCCAGGAAUUGCUAUAUGCUUUGGCUUUUGGGUAUUUUUCUUUUCAUCCUUAGAAAGGAUUUGUUCCACAUAGAAGACUUGUGCGGCACGGUUAGCAUGGAUCCAUGGAUCAUCUUUAUAACCUACUUUACUUAGGUCAAGAACUCUCUGGCCAUAGUUAUCCAAAGUGACAUGUUUAUCUUGAACCCAUCGGCAUUAGAACACUGGAAUCUG